RNAcentral lists this ribosomal RNA (498 nucleotides) under uncultured bacterium. RNAcentral describes it as "partial 16S ribosomal RNA". It matches the Rfam family "Bacterial small subunit ribosomal RNA", at positions 30 to 523 of the family's 1533-position model. The record is from RNAcentral.
AUUGAACGCUGGCGGCAUGCCUUACACAUGCAAGUCGAACGGCAGCGGACCUUCGGGUGCCGGCGAGUGGCGAACGGGUGAGUAAAGUAUCGGAACGUACCUUUCAGUGGGGGAUAACGUAGCGAAAGUUACGCUAAUACCGCAUAUUCUGUGAGCAGGAAAGCAGGGGAUCGCAAGACCCUGCGCUGAUUGAGCGGCCGAUAUCAGAUUAGCUAGUUGGUGAGGUAAAGGCUCACCAAGGCGACGAUCUGUAGCGGGUCUGAGAGGAUGAUCCGCCACACCGGAACUGAGACACGGUCCAGACUCCUACGGGAGGCAGCAGUGGGGAAUUUUGGACAAUGGGGGCAACCCUGAUCCAGCCAUGCCGCGUGAGUGAAGAAGGCCUUCGGGUUGUAAAGCUCUUUCGUCCGGGAAGAAAUCGCAUCAGCUAAUACCUGGUGUGGAUGACGGUACCGGAAUAAGAAGCACCGGCUAACUACGUGCCAGCCGCCGCGGUAA